Molecule: long non-coding RNA, 3202 nt
Organism: Peromyscus leucopus (white-footed mouse)
Lineage: Eukaryota; Metazoa; Chordata; Mammalia; Rodentia; Cricetidae
Exons: 4
Source: RefSeq, a predicted model, not a curated record
CUCAUAGAGAUCUGCCUGGCUCUGCCUCCCAAGUGCUGGGAUUAAAGGUAUGCACCACCACCGCCGGGCUAAUACUGACAUUUUUACAACCUGGAAAUAUCUUGGGACAGUGGCAAUGAGGAAGAAUUGAGACUGAGUGAGAUUCACUAAUUAAACCAAUGACAAAUCUUUUGUCAUUUAUAGGUUUGAGAUUUUCCCAUUGCAACAGGGGCCCAGACCUUAGCACAUGACUCCAUGAUGGAAGUACCAGUCAUGCCAUAAAACUCAGCACAAAGACAUCACCACCUGCCUUUCUCAGCAUGGGCAACAAAUUAUAUGAACAUCCUUCACAAGAAGCUCCUAGAUGAAAAUAUACUGUUAAAUAAUGUUGGGAAACAAAUCAUCUUCCAUCACAUCCUAGAAAUGUGUAAGUAUCGGCAUCAAAGAAGUGUUAGGCAUACUUAACUUAGUUUAAUUCUAUGUUUCCUAAACUUGUUUCCUGGUGUAAUUCCUCUUUUCAUGUAAUAAAUAUUAGUAUCCCACAGAACACACUUAAAGCAGUGCAGGAUACUCAGAGAUUUUUUUUAAACAUUCUUUAGCUAAUGACUUUCUAGUGUAGAAGAGUUUGUAUGCACUUUCUGUAAUUAGCCUCUCUCAUGUUUUGUAGGCUGUGGCAAUGAGAUAAAUAGUUACCUGCUAAAUUCAUGAUUACAAACUCUGAGAAUAUCUCUGAAAUUCAGAUUCAAUUUAAGUUCAGUAAAAAUUCAAAUUUUGCCUCUUAUAUGUGGUUUGAAUGAAAAUGGCCCCCAUAGACCCAUAGGGGGCGGUGGUAUUAGGAGGUGUGGUCUUGUUGGUGUAGUCAUGGCCUUGUUGGAGGAAGUUUGUCACUGAGGGUUGGCUUUGAGGUUUUGGAAGUCCUAGUCAAGCCCAGAGUUACUCUUCUUCUGAUGCCUGGUGAUCUGCAUGUAGAGCUCCCAGCUACCUCUCCCGCAGUGUGUCUGCCUGCAUGCUGCCAUGCUUCAUGCUGUGGUUACAAUGAACUAAAUAAACCUCUGAACUGAAAGCUAGCCCCAAUUAAAUUCCUUCCUUUAUAUGAGUUGCAGUGGUCACGGUGCUUCGUCAUAGAAAUAGAAACCUUAACUAAGACAUAUACCAAGCUGAGGGUUAUAAUAAAUAAUGUAAAAUAAUUAAAUAAAUAAGUAAAGAUGACUUUUAUCCUUAGCCUUUGAAUUAAUAAGUGGAUCGGUUUGACUACUCUGUGUAAUGUUUUCUUAUUUUUUGGUUGAUUGUUUUCAUGGUUGGAGUUCUGGAUCUUGUCAGAUUACAGAGUGGGAGAGUACGAACUAGCAGAACAGACUGAUAGGGCAGUGCUGGGAGGACACAGAAGCCUUUCCCAGCUGCGCCCUCAGGUAUGAGAACACAGACAUCCGAAGACCCUUGCCUUCAGGCUCCUCUUGGUAGUGCAAAAGAAAGGAUCUGUUUGAAUCCCUGGGGAGCUAAUGAAAUCACCAGUUUCAGCUUCUGUCAGCAGAUCUGGUCAGUGACGGGCCAAAUCUGUGCAAGCCUCUGACUGUCUACUUCUGGGUUCCGUGCUGGAGAAAUUGAUCCUGGAAAGAGCUUCUGGAAAGACAAGCAUGCAGGCUUAGUUGAAGCUCCUGGCUAGCCAUGGGGAGGCUCCAGACGUCUACAAUCCAGCAACAUGGUGAAGAGCCAGUGUCAGUCAGCUUUGCAUCAUGGUGACUACUAAAUACCUGAGAUAAAUGGCUUUAAAGGAAGGGAAGCUUGCCUCACAGUUACUAUGGUCUCAGGCCUUAGUCACCCGGAUCCAUUAAUUUGGGCAACAAGAUCCUUCACCUCUGAAUUGGACAAAAGUGUAGGGCAUGGAGUGCUGGAUGCUGACCUACGAAAGUGCUGAACCACAGAUCAUACUGAAAAUAUGUUGUCUAUGUACGCAGCAUUUGACCUGCUCUCCUCCAGAAAGUGAAAAGUUUCAGUCCAUUGUUACCAAAAAAGUCAAAUUCUUGUGUAGAAAUAAAAAGACAAAAUAAAACUGUCCUUGCAAGAAUCACUUACCUUUUCUGAGCUGUUUGUAUACAAGUAGUUAUAAAAUAGUCCAAAUCUCAAGAUUCCAAAAUACUGGCUCAUAAUAGUCCUUAAUAGGGACAUGACUCAUCUUUAAAAAAUCUUUUAGAUUAAUUUUUAAUUUUUUUGUUUGAUUUCCACACAUGGACAUAUUGUAUCUUGAUAAUAUCCACCCAUACUUCUUCUUGCCCUCUUAACUUCUGCCUACCCCAACAUUUCUCACUUCCAACUUCAUAUCCUUUUUAAAAAGAUCCAUUGAGUCAAAUUCAUGCUGCUCACAGGUACAUGGGUAUGGAAUCAUACACCGAGGCAAGGGAAGUAUACUAGAAUUUAAAAAUUUAAUUUUGGAAUAGGCUUCUAAGUGGUACUAUUCCUCCAACCCCAAAACUGACCAUACCUUGACCAAGAAGAGUCAGACAGAAAAGGCAGCAUUUUUCUAAGCCAAACUUUAAUUACUAACAUUAUAUUUUGCAUUAGAUAGUGCCCAGAGCCUAAGCUGGUCUAGAAAUCUCUAUGUAGCCAAGGAUUUCUUUGAACACCUGAUCUUUUGCCUCUAAUUCCAAAGAGAUGAGUUACAGGCAUGCACUAAUAUGCCUGGUCAAUGUGAUAUGAUCAAGUAUUCUACCAACUGAGCUAGCUACAUUCUCAACUACUAAAAUCUUUAUUAUGAUUUUCAUAUCCCCUAAAUUCUCAACAACCACUUAGAUUCAAAGAGAUGUCAGAUUGUGCUUACCAACCAUGUCCAGGGUUGCUUGUAGUCAUUAUAAUUGUUUUCAUGAAUAUCCACCUCCACACAUUGAGUGUCUUACUAUGUUCAUGAUACUUUUCAUAUAAUUAAAAAUCCUACAGCUCUUUUAAGAUAUUACUUUUUCCUCCUAGUUGAAUAAAAUUAAUUAUAAAGCUAUCUGAUUCUAAGAUACUAGCGAAACAAAAUUAAUAGAUUAUUAAACACAAGCAUUAGUUAAGACAUGUUCCAAUUAGGAAAUACUAACAUGACUAAAUACACCUUACUAUGGAAAUGUGGUAGCUACUUUUUCUUGUGAGAAACUCUAGCACACAAUACUUCCUCUACUUUGGUAUUUAUUACAAGUAUAUCUGUAUUUACAGAUCUGUAUCUAGUCUAAGUAUAAGGGUUAUGAAU